CCGGGACACGCGCACACGCGAGCAGGACGUGCACACGCGUGUGCAUGCACAACCAGGACGCGCACACGCACCGACACGCGUGUGCACACGCGACCGGGACACACGCACACGUGACCGGGACACGCACACGCACCGACACGCGUGUGCACAUGUGACCGGGACACACGCACACGCGUGUGCAAACAGCCCGGGGGACUCACACACGCGACCGGGACCCGCACACGCGUGUGGCCGCACACGCUAAGGGCAGGGACGCGCCCCCCCCCACGGCGCCGUGUCCCCGCCGACACGCGUGUGCGUCCCGUGUCCCCCUCCCCCUCCCCGCGCACGCGCCCCCCCUGCGACACGCG
Molecule: long non-coding RNA, 350 nt
Filed under: Apteryx rowi (Okarito brown kiwi)
Lineage: Eukaryota; Metazoa; Chordata; Aves; Apterygiformes; Apterygidae
Description: lncRNA (ENSARWG00000006917.1)
Source: RNAcentral